GAUGAACGCUGGCGGCGUGCCUAAUACAUGCAAGUCGAGCGAACAGACGAGAGUGCUUGCACUCUCUGACGUUAGCGGCGGACGGGAGAGUAACACGUGGGUAACCGACCGAUAAGACUGGGAUAACUUCGUGAAACCGGAGCUAAUACCGGAUAAUAUUUAGCUUCGCAUGAAGCAAUAUUGCAAGACGGUUCUGCUGUCACUCAUAGAUGGACCCGCGGUGUAUUAGGUAGUUGGUGGGGUAACGGCUCACCAAGGCAACGAUCCAUAGCCGGCCUGAGAGGGUGAUCGGCCACACUGGGACUGAGACACGGCCCAGACUCCUACGGGAGGCAGCAGUAGGGAAUCUUCCGCAAUGGACGAAAGUCUGACGGAGCAAUGCCGCGUGAGUGAAGAAGGUUUUCGGAUCGUAAAACUCUGUUGUAAGGGAAGAACAAGUACGUUAGUAACUGAACGUACCUUGACGGUACCGUAACAGAAAGCCACGGCUAACUACGUG
RNAcentral lists this ribosomal RNA (499 nucleotides) under uncultured bacterium. RNAcentral's name for it is "partial 16S ribosomal RNA". It matches the Rfam family "Bacterial small subunit ribosomal RNA", at positions 28 to 507 of the family's 1533-position model. The record is from RNAcentral.